RNAcentral lists this ribosomal RNA (440 nucleotides) under uncultured bacterium. RNAcentral's name for it is "partial 16S ribosomal RNA". It matches the Rfam family "Bacterial small subunit ribosomal RNA", at positions 338 to 795 of the family's 1533-position model. The record is from RNAcentral.
CCUACGGGUGGCAGCAGUGGGGGAUAUUGCACAAUGGGGGGAACCCUGAUGCAGCGACGCCGCGUGUGGGAAGACGGUCUUCUGGAUUGUAAACCACUGUCCCCAGGGACGAAAAUGACGGUACCUGGGGAGGAAGCUCCGGCUAACUACGUGCCAGCAGCCGCGGUAAUACGGAGGAUGCGAGCGUUAUCCGGAUUUAUUGGGUUUAAAGGGUGCGUAGGCGGGCUGUUAAGUCAGCGGUAAAAGCCCGGGGCUCAACCCCGGCGAGCCGUUGAAACUGGCUGUCUUGAGAUGUCGAGAGGUAUGCGGAAUGCGCAGUGUAGCGGUGAAAUGCUUAGAUAUUGCGCAGAACUCCGAUUGCGAAGGCAGCAUACCGGCGGCGAUCUGACGCUGAGGCACGAAAGCGUGGGUAUCGAACAGGAUUAGAUACCCGGGUAGUC